This 237-nucleotide long non-coding RNA is filed under the name Lathyrus oleraceus (garden pea). RNAcentral describes it as "Pisum sativum (pea) long non-coding RNA (PSAT_LNC028475)". Lineage: Eukaryota; Viridiplantae; Streptophyta; Magnoliopsida; Fabales; Fabaceae. The record is from RNAcentral.
AUAUAUGUCUAUUGCAAGAAAGAAAAUUACAAAAGGUAUAUAUUUAGGUAAAAUGGCCUUCUAGUGGGGAAUAAGGGUUAUUUGGAGGUAUGUUAAUUAUAUGGAAAGUUGGGUUGUUAUAUUUGAACUACAGUUUUAGGGUGGAAUGUUUUGUAGUCAUUAAUGUAGAGUUGUAAGGGUGUCUUAUAAUAUUGUAAAUGUAUAUUCUUCAUACAAUUUAGAGAAAUAAAGAAAUAU